This 236-nucleotide ribosomal RNA is filed under the name uncultured bacterium. Its description in RNAcentral is "partial 16S ribosomal RNA". It matches the Rfam family "Bacterial small subunit ribosomal RNA", at positions 8 to 238 of the family's 1533-position model. The record is from RNAcentral.
AGAGUUUGAUCCUGGCUCAGGAUGAACGCUAGCGGCAGGCUUAACACAUGCAAGUCGAGGGGCAGCGGGGUGUAGCAAUACACUGCCGGCGACCGGCGCACGGGUGCGUAACGCGUAUGCAACCUACCCAUAACAGGGGCAUAACACUGAGAAAUUGGUACUAAUUCCCCAUAACAUUCGAAGAGGCAUCUCUUUGGGUUGAAACUACCGGUGGUUAUGGAGUGGGCGAUGCGUUG